Molecule: long non-coding RNA, 206 nt
Filed under: Elaeis guineensis (African oil palm)
Lineage: Eukaryota; Viridiplantae; Streptophyta; Magnoliopsida; Arecales; Arecaceae
Description: long non-coding RNA (EGUI_LNC049425)
Source: RNAcentral
UGUCCUCCCUUUAAUAGAGGCUGAAACCUCUCUACAAAUGAACGGUACCUGGAAUGACCGUCCUCAAGAUCAAUAAUCUAGGCAUGGACCCAACAAAACCUUCUGAUAUUCUACCCUUCUUGAUGCCCCACACAGCAUGAAAUUUUGGAGAAUCUCAUCUAACUUAUUAUCUUAAGCACAAAUAAAUGCAUUGUUGUUCAUUGCCU